This 495-nucleotide ribosomal RNA is filed under the name uncultured bacterium. RNAcentral describes it as "partial 16S ribosomal RNA". It matches the Rfam family "Bacterial small subunit ribosomal RNA", at positions 28 to 507 of the family's 1533-position model. The record is from RNAcentral.
GACGAACGCUGGCGGCGUGCCUAAUACAUGCAAGUAGAACGCUGAAGGAGGAGCUUGCUUCUCUGGAUGAGUUGCGAACGGGUGAGUAACGCGUAGGUAACCUGCCUGGUAGCGGGGGAUAACUAUUGGAAACGAUAGCUAAUACCGCAUAAUAGCAGUUGUUGCAUGACAACUGUUUGAAAGGUGCAAUUGCACCACUACCAGAUGGACCUGCGUUGUAUUAGCUAGUUGGUGGGGGAACGGCUCACCAAGGCGACGAUACAUAGCCGACCGGCGAGGGUGGUCGGCCACACUGGGACUGCGACACGGCCCAGACUCCUGCGGGAGGCAGCCGUAGGGAAUCUUCGGCCAUGGACGGAAGUCUGACCGAGCAACGCCGCGUGAGUGAAGAAGGUUUUCGGAUCGUAAAGCUCUGUUGUAAGGGAAGAACGAGUGUGAGAGUGGAAAGUUCACACUGUGACGGUAUCUUACCAGAAAGGGGCGGCUAACUACGUG